GUGCAAGCAGGCAGCCCUGAGCUUGCACCUGAUGUCCCCUCCCUGCAGGUUCCUGUCCUUGAGCCCAGGCCCUGAGGUGAGGCUGAGAAUAAGUGCAAGGCAGAGGUGCUGCUGAGGAAGGAGAGCCCCGUGGUGGGAAAAAACAGAUGAAGCUGUGAAUGCCCAUCCCUGAGCAGGUGCUGUGUCCAUCCCCUGUGUGCCAGGAUUUGUCCUUCCCAAAGCUUGGGCGGAUGGAGGAGGAGGCUGCGAGGAAGAGGAAGAUGCCUUGGGCCCCCCAGGCAGGCCCCGAGCUGAGGACGAAGAGCCCGGAGGACAAAUCCCCCCGUGAGACCCUGGUGGGAGAGGCCGUUUUGAAGGGCUCCACGGCGCAGGAAGGCAGCGGGGAGGAAAAGGGCCGGAGAUCCCCCCGCAGGAGGGGCUCCAAAGCCAUCCCAGGGUGCUCUGAGGAGGAAAGAGCCAG
Molecule: long non-coding RNA, 460 nt
Organism: Pseudopipra pipra
Lineage: Eukaryota; Metazoa; Chordata; Aves; Passeriformes; Pipridae
Exons: 3
Source: RefSeq, a predicted model, not a curated record